UAGGUCAACUUAUGCCUUGAUGAUGUUUACAGUUUGUGGCAAAAUUCUGGAGGCUGCUGUUUGUGUGGUGUGCGCAUUUGAUAUUCCACUUGAAAUUCUUUUGCUUUUCAUUUCAGCAUUGCCAAAGGAAUUUACGGAUUAUGGUGGCCAGUUAAGGGUUCCUUCGCAAAGAUGGCUUUCAGGUUGUGGUUACAAGGAUAGGUGUGCCAAUUGCUGUAAUAAUGAGAUAAAGCUGUGGAAUAGUCUUUAUGACUUCCCACAGAGGUUUGUCAGCAAUUGAUCUUCCAUUUGAUGUGUCUUUUACUUAUGACGAUAAGAUUGAGUGCAUGGGAGUCGUGAAGCAAAUAGAUGGGCAAAGAUGCUUUCUUUCUACUGAGCAUGGCCAUCUCCUGGAACCUAUUUUAGUGUUUAUUCGAAAUAACGGUACAAAUAUCUUGAAACAAAACCAUGUACUAGAUACAUAGUAGUCAAAUUCAUGAUUCUUGUCUUGAGCUUAGUUAUGGAGCUUCGCAGAGCAAAGGAAAGAGCAGUUGAAUAUAUUGCUAAAGCCGGAGCAAAUGUAGAGAAGCCCUUGCCUGGUGUAGUUGAUCAUCUGGGUUUCAUUGAUGACAUCUCUGAGAAGCUUUCUGAUGAAUUUAUAUAUUUAUUGGUA
Non-coding RNA from Vigna umbellata (rice bean), 652 nucleotides. NCBI's taxonomy places the organism in Eukaryota, Viridiplantae, Streptophyta, Magnoliopsida, Fabales, Fabaceae. The record is from RefSeq and is a predicted model, not a curated record.